Long non-coding RNA from Solanum dulcamara, 637 nucleotides. RefSeq lists it as uncharacterized. NCBI's taxonomy places the organism in Eukaryota, Viridiplantae, Streptophyta, Magnoliopsida, Solanales, Solanaceae. The record is from RefSeq and is a predicted model, not a curated record. The transcript is spliced from 2 exons.
UGAGCUCUUUCACAAGAUUUCUGUCAAAGUUCUAUGGCAAAAUAACAACCUUCUGAUGAACGAGGACCUCUCUGGCAAAGCUCUGGUGCUCAUCUUUGACAUCUCCUACAAUGUGAAGCCCCAAUAGUCUUUUGCAUAUAAAGGAUAUUCAAUGGAUAUUGGAGAUAAAUGGAUCUCCGAAGAUCCACCAAUGAAUAUGUUCAUGGAGUUAAUGAUUUUUCUUGAUAAGGCAUUUGAACAAGCUUCUCAAGAAAAAUGAAAUAUUAUGCCCUUGUAAGAAGUGCUUUAAUCGUAAUUGACAUUGUCGAAAUGUGGUGGAGGAUCACUUGAUUUGUCAUGGAUUUGUUCCUGGAUAUAUCAAAUGGGUUUUUCAUGGAGAAGGGUUUUCCUCAAGAAACACGCCACAUCCAACCAAUGAUGAUGAAGCUUCGAACAUGCAUGACGAUAUUGAUAAACUACUUCAUGAUACUUUUCAAAAUUUAGAAGAUGAGCUAAGGCAUAAAGAAGUUAGAGAGGGACCAUCUGAAGAUGUGAUUUUUUUAAAAAAAAAUUAGUGGAGGACGGAAAACAAGAGUUGUAUCUGGGGUAUAAAAAUUUUUCUAAGUUGAAUUUUACCAUCCGGUUAUACUUGUUUAAA